RNAcentral lists this ribosomal RNA (510 nucleotides) under uncultured bacterium. RNAcentral's name for it is "partial 16S ribosomal RNA". It matches the Rfam family "Bacterial small subunit ribosomal RNA", at positions 28 to 507 of the family's 1533-position model. The record is from RNAcentral.
GACGAACGCUGGCGGCGUGCUUAACACAUGCAAGUCGAACGAAGAGCGAUGGAGGCUUGCUUCUUACAGUCUGAGUGGCGAACGGGGGAGUAACGCGUAAUCAACCUGCCUUUUAGAGAGGGACAACAGUUGGAAACGACUGCUAAUACCGCAUAAGAUCUAAUCUCGGAAUCGAGGAGAGAUGAAAGGUGGCCGCGAAUUGUAAGCUAUCACUGAAGGAGGGGAGUGCGUCUGAUUAGCUAGUUGGAGGGGGAACGGCCCCCCCAGGCGAUGAUCCGUGGCCGGGCUGGAGCGAAUAACCGCCACAUUUGGACUGAGACACGGCCCCGACUCCUACGGGAAGCAGCAGUGGGGGAUCUUCCGCCAUGGACGAAAGUCUGACGGAGCAACGCCGCGUUAGCGAUGACGGCCCUCGGGUUGUUAAACUCUGUUAAUCGGGACGGAAGGCCUCCUUGCGAAUAGUGCGAAGGAUUGACGGUACCGGAAUAGAAAGCCACGGCUAACUACGUG